CCUACGGGUGGCAGCAGUGAGGAAUAUUGGUCAAUGGACGAAAGUCUGAACCAGCCAUGCCGCGUGCAGGAAGACGGCUCUAUGAGUUGUAACCUGCUUUUGUACAAGGGUAAACCUGGAAACGUGUAUUCAGCUGAAAGUACUGUACGAAUAAGGAUCGGCUAACUCCGUGCCAGCAGCCGCGGUAAUACGGAGGAUCCAAGCGUUAUCCGGAUUUACUGGGUUUAAAGGGUGCGUAGGCGGAUUGAUAAGUUAGAGGUGAAAUGUCCGGGCUCAACUCGGGAACUGCCUCUAAUACUGUUGAUCGAGAGAGUAGAUGCGGUAGGCGGAAUGUAUGGUGUAGCGGUGAAAUGCUUAGAGAUCAUACAGAACACCAAUUGCGAAGGCAGCUUACUAAUCUAUAUCUGACGUUGAGGCACGAAAGCGUGGGGAGCAAACAGGAUUAGAUACCCCAGUAGUC
Molecule: ribosomal RNA, 460 nt
Filed under: uncultured bacterium
Lineage: Bacteria
Description: partial 16S ribosomal RNA
Rfam family: Bacterial small subunit ribosomal RNA
Source: RNAcentral